This 349-nucleotide long non-coding RNA is filed under the name Vigna radiata. RNAcentral describes it as "long non-coding RNA (VRAD_LNC016314)". Lineage: Eukaryota; Viridiplantae; Streptophyta; Magnoliopsida; Fabales; Fabaceae. The record is from RNAcentral.
GGGAGGUGAAAGUGGUCUACCUAUCUCAAAAGUGGUGCUCAUAUCUGCCUGGUCCUCCAAUUCUUCAUCAGUCUCCUCAGGUGCAAGAGUGGGGACAUAGGAGGGUGGGAAAGUAGAUGGUGCAGUAGUAAGCUCAUGACUCUACUCCUCAUCUCCUAUGUGGAUGGCACUGACAUCAUCUGGAAGUUGAACAAUCUGAAAUGGUGAUCCCUCUGAAACAUAAGACUGUUCCUCAGUGAGCUGAGUGACCAUCUGCCCCAUCUGAUCAAUCAAACUCUGAAUGGAAGCUCUGGUCUCCUGCUGAAACUCCAUGUUCUCCCGCCGGAACUGAAUGUUCAGAAUAGUCAUC